AGGGUUUGAUCCUGGCUCAGGACGAACGCUGGCGGCGUGCUUAACACAUGCAAGUCGAACGGAAAGGCCCAGCUUGCUGGGUGCUCGAGUGGCGAACGGGUGAGUAACACGUGGGUGAUCUGCCUCUAACUUCGGGAUAAGCUUGGGAAACUGGGUCUAAUACCGGAUAGGACAAUCGUUUAGUGUCGGUUGUGGAAAGUUUUUUCGGUUAGGGAUGAGCCCGCGGCCUAUCAGCUUGUUGGUGGGGUAAUGGCCUACCAAGGCGUCGACGGGUAGCCGGCCUGAAAGGGUGGACGGCCACAUUGGGACUGAAAUACGGCCCAAACUCCUACGGGAGGCAACAUUGGGGAAUAUUGCACAAUGGGCGCAAGCCUGAUGCACUGACGCCGCGUGGGGGAUGACGGCCUUCGGGUUGUAAACCUCUUUCGACAGGGACGAAGCUUUGGUGACGGUACCUGUAUAAGAAACACCGGCUAACUACCUGCCAUCAGCCGCGGUAAUACGUAGGGUGCGAGCGUUGUCCGGAAUUACUGGGCGUAAAGAUCUCGUAAGUGGUUUGUCGCGUCUUCUGUGAAAUUCCGGGGCUUAACUUCGGGCGUGCAUGCUAUACGGGCAUAACUUGAGUGCUGUACGGGAGACUGAGAAUUCCUGUUGUAUCGGUGGAAUGCUCAGAUAUCAUGAGGAACACACUAUGGUGCAACGCAGGUCUCUGGGUGCGUAACUGACGCUGAGGAGCGAAAGCAUGGGGAGCGAACAGGAUUAGAUACCCUGGUAGUCCAUGCCGUAAACGGUGGGCGCUAGGUGUAGGGGUCUUCCACGACUUCUGUGCCGUAGCUAACGCAUUAAGCGCCCCGCCUGGGGAGUACGGCCGCAAGGCUAAAACUCAAAGGAAUUGACGGGGGCCCGCACAAGCGGCGGAGCAUGUGGAUUAAUUCGAUGCAACGCGAAGAACCUUACCUGGGCUUGACAUAUACAGGACUGGGCCAGAGAUGGUCUUUCCCUUUGUGGCUUGUAUACAGGUGGUGCAUGGUUGUCGUCAGCUCGUGUCGUGAGAUGUUGGGUUAAGUCCCGCAACGAGCGCAACCCUUGUCUUAUGUUGCCAGCGGUUUUGGCCGGGGACUCAUGAGAGACUGCCGGGGUUAACUCGGAGGAAGGUGGGGAUGACGUCAAAUCAUCAUGCCCCUUAUGUCCAGGGCUUCACACAUGCUACAAUGGUCGGUACAACGCGCUGCGAGCCUGUGAGGGUGAGCGAAUCGCUGAAAGCCGGCCUCAGUUCGGAUUGGGGUCUGCAACUCGACCCCAUGAAGUCGGAGUCGAUAGUAAUCGCAGAUCAGCAACGCUGCGGUGAAUACGUUCCCGGGCCUUGUACGCACCGCCC
Molecule: ribosomal RNA, 1378 nt
Filed under: uncultured bacterium
Lineage: Bacteria
Description: bacterial SSU rRNA
Rfam family: Bacterial small subunit ribosomal RNA
Source: RNAcentral